AGAUUGAACGCUGGCGGCAUGCCUAACACAUGCAAGUCGAACGGCAGCACAGCAGAGCUUGCUCUGUGGGUGGCGAGUGGCGGACGGGUGAGUAAUGCAUCGGGACCUACCUCAACGUGGGGGAUAACGUAGGGAAACUUACGCUAAUACCGCAUACGUCCUACGGGAGAAAGCAGGGGACCUUCGGGCCUUGCGCGGUGAGACGGACCGAUGUUCGAUUAGCUAGUUGGUAAGGUAAUGGCUUACCAAGGCGACGAUCGAUAGC
Molecule: ribosomal RNA, 265 nt
Filed under: uncultured bacterium
Lineage: Bacteria
Description: partial small subunit ribosomal RNA
Rfam family: Bacterial small subunit ribosomal RNA
Source: RNAcentral